AGUGAACGCUGGCGGUAGGCCUAACACAUGCAAGUCGAACGGCAGCACAGUAAGAGCUCGUUCUUUCGGCUGGCGACUGGUGGAUGGUUCAUGAAUACAUCCGUAUCUAUUUUUUCGUGGGGGCUAACGUAGGGACACUUACCGCAUACGCCCUUACGACCUACGGGUGAAAGCUUGGGAUCUUCCGCUCUUGCAUGAUCCAAUGACGCGAUGUCGGAUUAGCUAGUUGGCGGGGUAAAGGCCCACCAAGGCGACGAUCCGUAGCUGGUCUGAGAGGAUGAUCAGCCACACUGGAACUGAGACACGGUCCAGACUCCUACGGGAGGCAGCAGUGGGGAAUAUUGGACAAUGGGCGCAAGCCUGAUCCAGCCAUGCCGCGUGUGCGAAGAAGGUCUUCGGGUUGUAAAGCCCUUUUGGUGGGAAAGAAAAGCAGCAAGUUAAUACCCCGCUGUUCUGACGGUACCCAAAGAAUAAGCACCGGCUAACUUCGUG
RNAcentral lists this ribosomal RNA (492 nucleotides) under uncultured bacterium. RNAcentral describes it as "partial 16S ribosomal RNA". It matches the Rfam family "Bacterial small subunit ribosomal RNA", at positions 29 to 507 of the family's 1533-position model. The record is from RNAcentral.